GCCGCCGCGGAGCGCGGGCGCCCUCGUGAGGCUGGGCUGCGUCGCCAGCGGCAGCGUGAAGCGGGCAGCCCGGUCUGCGCCGGGGCCUGGGCCUGGAGUCCAGUGUGGUCGGGCGUUCGACUCGCGCGGCUCCCCGCCCGAGGGCCCACCGGGCUCCGGCUGGAAGCCGCCCAGGGUGCGGCAGCGAAACUUCGGCCCGGUUGCAACCACAGUGGCGUUUAGGCCGGACGCUCUUGCUCCCGUUUCACGGAGCGGUCGAAAUCCGUAGACGUUUCUAAUGCGUUCUACCGGUAGCCCAGCCCUCUUCGUCCUCAGCCUCUAUUCGUGCUCACUUUUCUCCCAGGCAGGUAGCUCCAGGGGCCUCCUGUCUCUCUCCUCCCCACCCUAUCCCGUUUUCCCUUGAGCAUCCCCUGCUGCUUGCCAGGUGUGCCUUUAGUGAGAACCCGAUCUUUCCAGCACUUUUUUUCCUGCUGGUGAAGACAAACCCACAUGCUUUUAGUUUUCAGGGUUUUGUUAUCGAUCAGUUUCAUCCAUAGGUAGGGCUUACAUAGCACGCGCUACGUGCCAGCCAAGAUGUUUAGUGGGUUUAUGUGCAUUAAUUCACCCAGUCUUUGGAACAGCUCUAAACUUAAUCUUAUUAUACUAUCACUAAUUUGCAAAUGAGAAAACUGAGAUCUGAGGCAAAUUAAGUAAAUUGACUAAAGUUAUACAGACAACACACUGCCUGAUCAUGAACUGAAUUAUCUUUAAAAUUAUUAUUGGUACAUAAUCAAAGCAAAGUAUCACAAAGUUUCAUAAUUAUUCAAUAGAACGUAACACUUCUGGGGAAAUGCAUCUCGCUGAAAUGGAUAUUGUUGCUUUUUAAAAUUCAUAAAUCUGUGAAUGAUUAUAUCUUAUUGCUGGGACGGGAAGGAUUGAGCAUCAAUACCACUCUUAAGUUUUAGUUUUUAUAACUGUAUGGCCUUAGAAACGGUGUUCAUAUAAACAAGUACUAUACCUGGUAAUCCUAAUCCUACUGUAGCAACGUUGUAACUGAGCAGGGUCCUGUGAGGCUCCUGGGCACACAAGCCUUUCUGUGUCCUUCAUUUCCUGUUUUUAAGGAAUAAGCUUCAGUCUCCAUGACCUUCCCUGAGCUCCAAAGGGCGGUUGAUAAUCAGGGCAGGAAAGGGAUGCAGCGAUCAGGGAGCAGCAGUCGAGAGACAAUAAUGCAGCCUUGGGGCAGGGCCCUGGUUCCUCCUCAAGGAAUAUACAUAACAAUGUCUUGGAGCCUUUUUGCAGAACUAAAAUCCCCAACAAAGGGAAGAACUACUUGAUGAAGGAGGACCUCCAGAACCAGUCCUGGGCUGCUAAUUAUUUCUCAGCUUUGAUCCUUAUCUGCAGCCUUAUUUUCCACUCCCCAAAGUAUAAAACCACCCCCUAAUCUCUCCCAAGGAGGGCACAGUCUUUAAGGCAUUGGUCUGCUGUGCCCUCCUUUACCUGGCAAAGCAAUAAAGCUCUCUUUUUCUCCUUCACCUAAAACUCUGUCUCCACACAGUGCUCUUGGCUGGAUCAGACACUUUGAGGUUUCUCUCCACACCAGUCCCCCUUCAGGUGAGCAGAGGAUUGGAGGACUCUUUUAGAGGCCAGACUGCUGAGAGUUUCCUGCCAUGGGGCCGGCCCCGAGCAGAGCCGACUGGCCGUCUUGGAAGUUGGAACUCCAGGGUGGAAGAGUGGUUGGAAGGCAGCUCUCACUGGCCUUGGGGGGACUCCUUCCUUUCCCUCUGCUCCUGCCGACCAGAACUUCCCACUUCAAGAAGACUUUUUGGGAAGAGGAAAAGUAGCAUCUGUGAUUUCGAGACACCUCUGCCAGCAUCUGGAUGGGAUUCAGAAUUGGGAAGGCAAAGUAAUCAUACCGAUAAAAAGAGGGAGGAUUUUGGACCUCCAUGAAGAUACUGAAGUGGGGGGGAGGCAGGGAGAGAGGGUGUUUAUCUGCUUGCCUGGCUGGCACCGUUGCUGUCAUCGUUUCCUUACAUCUUCACCACGACAAGACUGUGUCAUUCGAGCCAUCUUGAGAAGGAGAAGAUGAAAGCUGGGAGGCCAUGAACAUCUCGCCCAGAUUUAUGUUGCUGCAAAAAGAAUUGAAAUUGGGAGGCAGAUUGCAUCCAAAGCUGGAAUAUUUCCAUGUGCUCUUCCCUGCACCAUCCUAAAGACGUGGAAGGCAGGGCCUCCCCUCCCUUCCGUGCACCUUCUUGCCCCCGCCCCUGUGGUCUCUGUAUCUGCACUAAGAUGAAUGUGCUCUGGCCUCUCCCACCUCACACUGAGCAAGGAGAAAAGGCAACAGCCUCAAAUCUGCCCAAUAUUCCACGGAAGCUGGUCUUUCUUCUACAUGGACAGUGAUUCCCUUUGAAAAGGCAGCAACAUUGAACUGCCCCAGCUUCCUGGCUAUGCCCACCGAUGAAGGUGACAAUCACGAUGCAGAAAUGGACAGUGGGGAGCGUUGGAUGGAAUAAUUACAAUAGUGAACAAAGAACAGCGGUGAAGACAUUUUACCCAAACAUCUUACUUGCUGUUGGAAGUCUGGCUUGACCCAAUGUGAGGCCCUCUUCUCCAUUCCAGAUCCAGGACACCAUUCCCUGAAGGAGCCAUCAGGGGCCUGUGGGAUAGAGGCCAUUGCUGGGGAUGCCCUGAUAGAGGUCCUUCAACAAAUAACAAGUAAGAGGCUGCAGUUUCUGCAACGAGAGAUGAUGGGGCUGAAACGUCAGCAGGACAGACCAGGAUGGAAGAUCAAUCACGGAGCGGUUCCCCAUGCUGUGAGCUCCCCCAGGCAAAGGCUGUACCUUUUGUUUUCCUCAGCACCUCUCUUAAAACCCAGAACAAUGUCCAGAGGAGAACAGGCAUUCAGACCCUAUUUCCAUCUCUAUUCUGGGACCAUGUGGAAUCAGAGAUAAAUUAGACCACAUCUUUGUCCUAGGAGUUCACAGUCAAGCUGAGGCGGACAGACUGACAAAUUGAUAAAUGCUUCAACAUUGUCUUCUCUUAUUCAGGCCAAACGUCAUUAGCUGAUCCUCAGAUUCCCUCCCGGAACAGGAAAGCACAGAUCGGAUAGCACGGUGCCAGGCGGGGACCGACCUAUGCUGAACAAGCUCGAAGGUCAUUUCUCUCAUGUAUGUUUAUAAGGAAAACACUGAUCCUCUGAGUAUGUUUCCCUUGUUCACACAGAGGCUCCAAGAAGGUCAAAUAAGUCUCAGAUGAUGCUUAACGAGUAGAAAGCCCGAACGAAGUGGCUGGAUGUCCAUUAGGAAUAGCACUGUUUCCCUUUUCUGCUCUGGGAAGGAAUCCAACAGGUACUUCCCCUGGGUCAAGCCCUAAUGGCAAAUUUUUCAGCAAAAGAGGAGGUUUUUUUCAAAUUUCUUGUCCAGAUUGCUGAGCUCUUAUCAUAUCGACAGGUUCCCAAAUGGACAGAAAGACUUAGAAAUUCCAGAGUAAUUAUCUUGCUUGAGUGUAGCUAAUAUUGAAAAUGGAAACUUUUCUCAUGGAUUUUUAAAAAUAAUAUCUUAUCAUUCACCCUUCAUUAGGUGUGAAUAACUACUGGCAGGAUGUAUUUUAGCAGAAUGAAUGUUAUCUAGUAAGGUAUCCAGAAAAAGCUGAUGUCACAUGCACACUUGCCUUAACCUCCCACUCUUUCCCCCAGUAUCACCUAUCACAGGCAUUGAGGCUCCAACCAAACUGCUGAUGCUCUUCCCUUAGCUUAGAGUACUUUUCCCAGUGCUGCUUGUUCAAAUCUACUUUUCCAUCAAGAGUAACCUCAAAUUCCACUAUUUCUAAGGAGACUUCUCUCUUUCUCCAGUGAAGAAGGGAUAAUUUCUUCUUUCUUCACAUGUCCUUAAUUAUUCUUCCUAAGCCUCUCUUAAAACACUUAGAUGUCUCAGCUGUCCUAAAAAUCUGAGUUUCUUGAGGCCAGGACUUGCAUCUUAAUGUCUUGGUAUCUUUCAUCCUUGGAAGGCAAUAUAGCAUACGGUCACGGGAUCAGGAUCCUGGGUACAAACUGGGUGCUACUACUAACCAGCUGUGUGAUUGUAGGCAAUUCCUGGCAUAUUGUAAUCACUCAACAAAUGUCCCCAUUUACUAUUUAUAUUCUUCAUAACACACAGGACAAUACAUAGUAUCCAUUCUCAGCUCAGUCAAUGUUUACUGAAUGAAUAAAUGAGAAAGCAAAUGAAAAGUAGUUUGUUGUUGAGUGUUUGUUAAGGGAAUGAAUAAUUUAAUAGAUUUGGAAGAAAAUUUGUCAAACAUACUGCUUUUCACUGAACCAAAACAUAUUUCUACAAAUGUUAUGCUUAACCUUCUCCUGGGUCUCUCCUCAAUUCAUUAUUCCUUGAAGCACCCUUCCCUUAGAACCAUCUACCCAUAAACUUAUAUAAUAUUUUAUUUUUGUUUCUUUUAAGAGUGACUACUUUAUGCUAAAGAGCUGCAUUAAGCUUUUGCAGAUUGAAAGAAGAGGAUUUCUUUACUUGUCUGUGGAUCAGGCUGGUUUUCUAUGAGCAGGCAGAGGGAUCUUUGCUACAUUUAUAAUCAUAUAUUUUCUGAGUAGACAAGAUCCAGACGAAAUUCAGGAAGGUUCCUAGGUAUCAUGGCUCUUUUAACUAUAUGAUUCAGCAAUCCCACUCCUGCACAUCUAUUUGAAGAAAACCAUAAUUUGAAAAGAUACAUACACCCUAAUGUUCAUUGCAGCACUAUUUACAAUAGCCAAGAUAUGGGAGCAACCUAAAUGUCCAUUGACAGAGGAAUGGAUAAAGAAGGUGUGGUACACAUAUACAAUGGAAUAUCAGCCAUGAAAAAGAAUGAAACAAUGCCAUUUGCAGCAACAUGGAAGGGCAUAGAGAUUUUCAUACUAAAUGAAGUCAGUCAGACCGUGAAAGACAAACAUCAUAUGAUAUCACUUAUAUGUAGAAUCUAAGAGAAAUAUACAAAUGAACUUAUUUGCAGAACAGAAACAGGUCACAGACUUUGAAAACAAACUUAUGGUUACCAAAGGAGAUGGGUAGCGGGGAGGGAUGGACUGGGGUUUGGGACUGGUGUAUGCCCACUGUUGUAUGUGGAAUGACUGGCCAAUGGGGACCUGCUGAAUAGCACAGAGAACUCUACCCAAUAUUCUGUGAUAAUCUAUAUGAGAAAAGAAUCUGAAAGAGAAUGGAUGUGUGUAUAUUUAUAACUCAAUCACUUUGUUGUACAGCAGAGAUUAUCACAACAUUGUAAAUCAAAUAUACUUCAAU
This 5252-nucleotide long non-coding RNA is filed under the name Sus scrofa (pig). Its description in RNAcentral is "lncRNA (ENSSSCG00040075826.1)". The record is from RNAcentral. Lineage: Eukaryota; Metazoa; Chordata; Mammalia; Artiodactyla; Suidae.